Passer montanus (Eurasian tree sparrow) is the source of this 3253-nucleotide long non-coding RNA. RefSeq lists it as uncharacterized. The record is from RefSeq and is a predicted model, not a curated record. The transcript has 4 exons. Lineage: Eukaryota; Metazoa; Chordata; Aves; Passeriformes; Passeridae.
UAAUCGUUGAGAGGAACUUCUGGUCUUCUUUCCUUUUUUGGGGGACAAAGGAUAGCUUUGCCGCUCUUGUCCUUAGGGGGCACAAUCCUACAGGGCUUGGCAGGCCUGUGAGGGGCUCAGCAGCCUGCUCACCACCCCUCAGAGGGCAGAAAUCUCAGCCAUGCCACGUCCUGCUGCAGGCCGAGCCAGCCUGGCCACACAGGGCCUGCCCGGCCUGGCCAGUUACCAUUCCAAGCCUGGAAGCCAAAAGACCUUUCCUGGCCUUUGUUGGUUUUUAAAUGUGCCUUCAUGGGGGCGUGUUCAACUCUUUUAAGUGGUUGAACCAGGUGUCAAUCUUCAAAACUAGCCAGCUGAUUGGCUCUGCCAGGCCUCUUCAGGGAACCGCCCCUGCGGCCUGUGGACUGCGCCCAACUGAAAAUCAGACUUCGUUAAACCGCGACGCUGGAAAGAGAGUAAAGGCCUUCCUGUGAGUCUAAGAGGCCAGAACUUGUGGAAAGUUAACUUGAAGUUUCCUAAGUACAGGAGAGACCGUGAUGGUGCCUUGAUGGUGCAGGAGGGAGACAAGAAUCUCAUUGCUGGGGGAAUGGGGGCUUUCCCUAGGAAAGGAAGGAGAUUCUAUUCCCACAGUGGUAUGGAGAUUUCCCAUAAUUCCAGGCUUUCAGCAGUUCCAAAAGCAAUUUUAUCUCCCUCUACCCAGUUUCACUGGUCAUUUAUUUGGUUUGAAUUGGCAACUUGGCCUCAGGUCUGUGGUCUGUGCUCAGGGAAAGGUCUUUGGAAGAGCUCUGAGGAAGGUCAUGGGAAUGAAUCCUCUUAGGUCAUUGAUUUCCUAUAGACCAAGUCAUAGUGUAAUACCCCAGGUAUUGAAGGGUAGAACAAACCUAAGAAUGUUUUAAGGAGAAAGGUGGAGGAAAUGUUAUCUUUUGUGGCUGGAAGCAGCCUGUCUGCAGCUUUGGUGAACCACAGAGCUCUGCAACACAGGCUCCUGCCCCACCUGGGGUCCUGCCUGUCCCCAUUGUCUUGGUGUUCCCUCUGCAGCCCUGUGACGACCCAGAAGGGGCAGCAGCCAUGAAGAUCCUGUUCCUGCUCUUCCCCCUGAUCCUUCUGUUGGUCCAGAGUGCUGCAGGGAUGAUCCCUGCAAGGGCUGGACAAGGACUUUUCAUCAGAGGUCGCACAAAUCGCGGCACAGCCAGGACAGGGAGUAACCUUCAAUGCAGAGAGAGAGGAGGAAUCUGUUCAUCUGUAAGAUGCCGCCCCCCUCUAAGAACUAUUGGAAGAUGUACAAACAUAGACUUUUGCUGCAGAAGUUUUAUGGGUUGAAGCCCUGAAAUUCCAAAGCAGGACAUCACCCAUUUGCUUCUGGCUGCUGGACCCAUGUGCUGAUGUCCCCAUGUGCUGAUGUGCCCAUGUGCUGAUGUCCCCUGCCCUCGCUGGCUGUGCCGUGCCCAGCUGGGCUGACAGCAGCAGUGGCAGCUGCUCCUGCUGGCUGCUGCUGGGCUGGAGCCCUGUGGUGUCAGGCCCGGUGUCUUUGGGGCAGGGGCUGCUUUUCCCGGCUUGAAUAAAGAGCAGCACUUUGGCAUUGCAGGGCUGGGCCGUGUGUGCGUGUGCUGCUGCUGCUGCAGGGCUGCUGUGCCUGCUGGCCCUGGGGCUGCCACUGCCUUGGUGGCAGCACAAGGCCCUGGCCGUGGUGCUGGGGCUGAGCAGCGCCUGUGUCCCUGGGGAUGCUCCUGCCUGGCCCUGCUUUGGGGACGCUGAGCCUGGCAGUGCCUGCUGGGCCAGGCUGGCUGGGCUGCCUGUGGUGGGGCUGCCCUGCAGAUGCUCCCUCUGGGGGAACUGGGAUCCCUGUGCUGGUCCUGCCAGUCCCCCAUGUCCCUUGUCCCUGUCAGCCAUGGCCUCACGUGCAGAGCUGUGCUGGAGGAUGUGUCCCUUGAGUGGCCUUUGCUAUGGUGACCCACAGGAGCUGUCCCUGAUGCUCCUCCUUGUCCUGUUCCAGCACCUCAGCCCUCCCUGCUGUUUCUGUGCUGCUCCACACCUCAUCCCAUCAGACCGGAGUGGGAGGACGCUGUUCACAUCUUGGGUUGGGUGACCCUUGAAAAGAUGCCAUUGCUGUGGGAAUGAACACAUUUGUUUGGCCAUGGGAGUAUGCAGAAUGUCCUGGCCUCUCUGCCCAUCUCAGGCAGUCUGGAGUGACAAUUCUCUGUACCUUGAAAGGCAGGGGCUUCUCCCUGUGUGUGGAGCAGACCUCGGGCACUGGCAUUUGAGUGGUUUACUACAUGUGUGUGUGUCAGUGUACUUGUGGGUAUAAGAGUAACUGGGGACCCUGCCUGGCUUAGGGACAGCAUUAUCCCCCAGGAAUCAGUGAGUCAUAGAAUUGGUGAUGUUGGGAAAACCCUUUAAGCUCAUUGAGUGCAACCAUUGCCCCAGCACUGCCAAGGCCACCACUAAACCAAGUCCCCAAAUGCCACAUCCAGAUGGCUUUUAAAUACUCCAGAGGUAGUAAUUCCACUACGGCCCUGGGCAUCCUGUCCCAACACUACUGAUUAUGCAAAGAAACUGUUCCUAAUACCCAACUGAAUCCUUCCCUGGUUCUACUUUUGGCCAUUUCCUCUGCUCAAUUCACACUUGUGAGAAGAGACCGACACCAAAAAUUUUUUUUGUCAAUCCUCUCUAGAGCUGCAAAGUUUGGUGAGGGAUGUUCAUAUGAACCCUGCCUGCUGUGGCCCUUCCUUCCCCUGUGCUAAACCUGAAAUUUUAUUUUGUCCCUCUUCUUUACAAACUAUGCAGACAAGGUUGCUGAAGUGAAAUGAGAGCUAAGUCUUUCCUCUCACUGUACAAAGCAGAGCAAGAUUGCUAUAUUCAGUCAGAUCAUCCACAUCCCACUCUGAGUAUUUAUAACAUCAGGGAAAUGAAAGAAUGCAAAGAAGCAAACCAUUUCCUCAUUUCUGCUCUUCCCAGCAUGAAUCACUCUGCCUUGUCCAUGCCAGCCCUCUCCUGCCCAGCCCGGUGCUGCUGUGCCGCGGGUGUCACAAGAGGUGUUGCAUGGGGACAACGGUGACAUUGAUUGCAACAGCCCCACCAGGCCCCUCAGCCUCUGCCCCUACAGCAGCAGGGAGGGAGCAGGGCCAGCCCCAGCACCCCCACAGCCAUGGGGCACUCCCGGGUUGGCCCAGGCCACUUGUGCCAGCAGCAACUGGGGCCUGUCCCACCCACCAGCACUGCUAUAAACCCAGCCUGUUUGGGGCACUGCAGCAUUGCC